RNAcentral lists this long non-coding RNA (4407 nucleotides) under Ricinus communis (castor bean). RNAcentral describes it as "long non-coding RNA (RCOM_LNC000437)". The record is from RNAcentral. Lineage: Eukaryota; Viridiplantae; Streptophyta; Magnoliopsida; Malpighiales; Euphorbiaceae.
UAGGACUCUAUAUACCUUUUGCAGUUUCAUGCCGAACAACUGAAAUGGGUUCUCUCUUCUCCAUCAGGUUUCUUAUUGUCCUUGCCCUAGUGCCUUCCAUCCUCAUAUUUGUGCAUGCAGCUGAGAGUCAAGCGGGUAAUUUAUUUCUUUAUUAGUUAACUUCUUUUUUCAUAUAUUACGCAUGCUUAGCAUAGAUGUCUCAAGACAAAAGAACUUUUAACGAAAAAUUAUUUUCUUUUCUUUUCCUUUCAUUUUUUCACACUGUGUUCAGUUGCAAAUAUUUCCUUAGGAUAAAUAAAGUUUUUUUUUAUUUAUUUACUUAAGAUGCUAAAGAAAGUUGAUCUGCCUGACCAGUAGAAAAUCCUACUGCUGCUACUCUAAUAGGGGAGUAAUAGUAUACCUGAGUUACUUUGGUCGAGCGCGUGGAAAUAGCAGAUCUUGUGCUAUUAUCGCGUGGAACUUCAAGCGUUUUGAAGUUAUAUAUUAAAGUUAUAUACAACACUUCGUAUAAAUUAUUUUAAGCUCGAUUUAAUAAAAAAUUUAUUUAAUGUGAUACGUUUUUUUAAACAAAUUAAGCACAUAUUAGAUAGAUUUUAACUUAUUAAUUUGUUGGUGAGCUAAUUAAUAUACUCGUGUUAUAAUAUUAAUAAUUUGAGUGUAAUUUAAAAACUUUAUUAUAAAUAUAUGUGAAAGGCAGAAAAAAUAAAGAAAAAGUCCUUAAACUAAUUAGGGAUAGGUAAUUAAGCUCCUAUUAUUUAAAUUGGCUCAAUUCCACCCUUUACUUUUUUAAAAUGGGCUCAAUUUUAAUCCAAUUUGUUAACUUGGUUAACUCUUCUGUUAGUAAUGGAGCCCAUUAAAAUUAAAGCCAGAAUAACAUACUGACACGUAGAAAUAAUUUUUCUAAUUUUAUAUUUAAAUAUAAAUAAUUAAAAAUCAAAAUAUUAUCUUAAAAUUCUAAAAAGAUUACACUCAAUAAUAAUUGAUAAUGCUACCAACUCACCGUCCUCCACCACCGCCUUGCCUCCAUCGCCACCCAUCGAUCAAAACCGUAAAAUGGCCUCCAUCAAACCAAUANNNNNNNNNNNNNNNNNNNNNNNNNNNCUUCUGACCAAUUUAGCUAACAACUUUGACAAAAGUGGUCAAGUCGCCCAGGCAAAGCUGAUAUAAAAAAGUUCAAUUUGAUUCUUAAACUUUAUACUAAGUAUCAGAUUUUGUAAAAAUAAUUUCCGAUUGAGUUAGAAUAAAAUUAUUUAAUUUUAACAUAAUUUACUUUUAUUAUCUGAUAAAAUAAUAUUUCUAAUUAAAAAAUUCAAAUUAAAUAAUAUUACCAAAGUAAUAUAAAAUUAUGCUUUUAUUUAAUUUAAUAUUGCUAAAGCUUAUUUGAAAAUAUUCUUUAAUUUCUUAAGUUAUUUAUAUGAUUUUUAUAAAUAUUAUUAAUUAUCACAUAAAAAUUAUUACUUAAAUAAAACAAUAUAGAAUAAUACUGUAAUAUAUUUUACCUCCAAGAAUUUAAUGCGAUGCAACUAUUAGUUAAAGUUAAUUUAGAAUUUUAAAAUAAAAAUGUUAUCUAAUUAUUUUUAUUAAAUAAUAAGAGUAAAUUGCAUUAAAAUCGAAUAGUUUUACUUUAACUCAAUAAAAAUUCAUUUUAUAUAAUUUGACAUUUAAUAUGAAGUUUAAGGAUCAAAUUGAACUUUUUGUAUUGAGUAAGUCCUUUGAUUGGAUUCAAUUGAUCACUUUGCCAAGUUUUUAGGUAAAUUAGCCUGAAAAUUAAAAUCUGAGCUAAUUGCCCAUUAGUUUCAAAUUCAAGGGACAAAUUUGCAAUUUUGCCAGGAAAAAGAAACCACAAGGCAUCUACUUAUAUGACAUUCAUCGCUCGUAGAGCUAUCAAAACCAAUAAAAGAAAAAAAGCACAAGCCUGUUCAUCGCAUGCCACCCUCAUCACUUGAUAUUCAUCGCUUAUCAUCCUCAUCAACUAACAUUCAUCACUUGCCAUCCUCAUCACCUGACGUUCAUCGCUUGUUGUUCUCAUCACCUUAUAUUCAUCGCUUGUUGUUCUCAUCACCUGACGCCCAUCACCUGCCAUCCUCAUUGCUUGUCGUCCACAUUACUCUUCUUCGUUGGCAAUAGUGGAUUUUUGUUGGUGGAGGUGGUGGUUACUGGUAGGUGGUCGUAAUUUUGUCAUUGGUGGCGAUGGAAAAGGUGAUAGUGGUGGUUGGGUGGGGGAGUUAGCGAUAGGGAUAGGAUUAAAUUUAUAAUUUAUUCAAAUUCAUUAUUUAGUUUUUUCUUUUACAUAAUUUUUAACGUAAAAGAAGAAAAACAUAUGUGCUAACAUGAAUGUGUUAUAUUUUAAGUGAUUCCACUACUACCAGAAAUUAUAUUCUAUUAACAAUUUGACUUAUUUGGACCUUGUAUGAAAAUUAAAAGGUGAAAUUGAAACAAUAUGAAGAAUAAGGGCCUAAUUGUCUAUCUCCAAUUAAUUCAAAAGGUUUUUCUUGCACCUUCUGCCAAUAUAGAAAAGGGGUAAUUAUUAUUUACAUCAUGUAUUUGUCUAUAUUAUACUAGUUACCUCUUGACAUUUAAAAAAUAUAUUUUUGUAUCCUUCUACUUUCCAAUUUUAUACUAAAACCCCAUUUCAUCAGAAUUUCCGUUAAACAACCGUUAAUUAGGUUUGGUUUUAUACUAUUUACCCUUUAAUCUUUGGUGUAAUAUACAAAUUGCCCCUUAUAAUUUAUUUAUUAUACUAAAACCUCGUCUAAUUUUUAUACAAAAAUCAAUUUUUAAAUUCACUACAAAAAUAAUUAAUUAGUGUUAUUUAAUUACUCUAAUUUUUAGCAUAAUCAAAUUUUAACAAAAUUUAAAUAUUUUAAAAGUACUUAUAUUAAUUAAAAUAUUAAAAAUUCAUAUAAUUUAACUUUAAAUUGUUAAAAUAAAUUAGAUAGUAUUAUUAUUAUUAUUAAUUUUAUUACAAUAAGAUUGUAACUUUGAUAAAAAGUUUGAGGAUUAAAUUAUAUUCUUUUAUUAAUUUAGAUCCUUAUUUAUAUUGAUUUUCAAAACGCAAAAAGAUUUUAGAAAAAUAAAUAACAUAUAAGGGGUAAUUUGUACAUUACACAUAAAAAUCAGGAAGCAAAUAAUAUAAAAUCAAACCUAAUUAACAAUUUCCUAACAUAAAUUCUAAUAAAAAAGAUUUUUAGUAUAAAAUUGCAAAAUAGAAAAAUAAAAAAAUAUAUUUUUUAAAUAUUAAUGGAUAACUAGUAUAAUUUGAAAACACACGGGAUAAAUAAUAAUUACCUCUAUAAAAAAUCAUAUUUAGACUUACUUGCUAGAAUAUAUUUAUAAGAAUUAAUAAAUAUAUGAUAAUCCUUAUAAUAGAUUAAAAUGUUUUGCUGAAUUGACUAAAAAUUUGAUUUUUAUUCUGUUUGUACUGAGCUCUUUAGGCUCGAUCAAAGACAAAAAGAUUUAAUAAAUUUAGCUCACCACUCAUUUCAAUAAUGAACAAAUCAAACUCAAACUAAUGAAAAUCCAACUCAGCUUGAUACAGUUAAACCCUAGUAUUCCUUUAAAAAUAUAAACUUACUGAAAUACAUAAUUCAAUUCAAUUUCGAUUAAACUCCUAAGACUAAUUGGUGUCUCAGUAGCAUUUUUGUCUAAAUAAUAUAGUUUUAUUGACUUUUUUUUUUUUUUUUUUUGCAAAAGUGAAGUCGAGGAGAGAACUUGGCAGCAAACCCUUGCCAAGCCCACCCCCUCCUCCAAUUCCUCACAAGUGGAAAAAUCAGAUUGCACUGCAGCCGCCGCCGCCUGCUCCAGCACGUAACAGAUUUCUAUAGUCUAUAGAUUAGCAUUUGCAAUAAGACUUAUGCUAUGUUUAGUUGAAAUCUAUAAAAAAGUUAAAUUUAUUUUAUUUGAGAAAAAGAUAGGAAAGAAAAUAAAAUAAAAAUAAUAAAGUUAAAAAAAAUAUUUUAGUAUUAUAAAAUUCAUUGUCUUACUAAUUUAGAAUUCAUUUGAAAAUUCUACAUUAUUUAAUUUAGUUAUACUCAAUUCCACAUAACUUUAAUUAUGUAGAAUGCUAAACUGAUUUUUAUUCCAUUUAAAGUAUAUAAAUUUUAGAUUAUCAAAUGAAUUCCGUAAAUUUUAUAGAUUUCGAUCUAUUGAAAAACACAUUACAGAUAUUACCAUUUUAAUAUGGAGGUAUGGUAACAUGAAAGAAAGGAAGUGCAUUUCCAGUCUAUGAAAGAAAGGAAGCAAGCGCAUACGAAGAGCUCUAUGGAGCUCGGGUGAGGGCGCAUGUUCGAGCCCCCAACUUUCUACUACCCAUGAUAAAAGAAAAGGAGAAAGAAAGGAAGUGCAUGUAUAUGAAUGAGUGUGUUUCAUAUGUAAAGAACGGCUGGCUACUAUAGAACAACGAAUAUA